UGUCAGGACUUCAGUUUACGUUCUCAAGUUUGUAUCUGGAGAAACCUGUGCAUUGGUUAAGAAAUUCUGAUCCAGAGGGGAAAGCACAAUCCCACUGGUCCACAAACAAUGCUUGCAGCAGUUAACUGUUUUUGGUUAGAGGUUGGUCCUCCCAGUACAGAUCAGUUCCAGGCUUGCUUAGCUUCUGAGAGCUGAAAAAGCUGACUACAAGGUAAGGCUACUGUGAGGAAUGAUGGGUGUCUUUGUGUGGCACAAAAAGCAUAUCAGGUGUAAAAGUUAAUGAUUCACUUUCAAUAUUGUUCAUCAAAACUGGUAUUUAUUGGAUCAUUCAAAGGGGAUACAGAAAUAAACAUAUUUGACAAUGUUUUAAAGGGUGCUACAGUAUUGCUAUAUGGUGUAAUGGUUAGGAAAAAAUACAUCUUUUAUUAAUAAAAAUGUGUUGCAGUGACCUUAAGCUUACAAGUAGGAGAUGUGGUCUGUCAAAUGUUCUUAUCAGCUUGAGAACUUCAAACAUAACUUGAAUACUUCCAGGAAAUCAUUUUCUAGUGAGAUCCAGUCCCUGUUACAAAGGUUUCUCUUCAGUCCAAUUCUUCUGACAAAUGGUUUAUUAACCGCCACUCUUAAAACAAGACCAGGCACAACAUAUUUCAUUUAAUUGGCAACUAAUAAAAAAACAAAUAAUUUUACAUUUACCAGGCGCUGUGGAGCAGGUAAGUAAAGCAAGGUCUGUUGCAACAGCCUUAGAAGAAUGUAAUAUGUUUGACUCUUUCAGCUAUCAAUCAGACCCUAAGAUCCUUUUAAUGUACAUUCUCAGUGUGCCAGCGCUUUGAAACGAAAAAUCACUCCUUGCCUGAAAAAUGUCAAACAAGCUUUAACAGCACUGGAAGCUAUGCUAUCCUGAACUUGAACCUGAAGACAUCAAUAGCCCAAGUCUUUAGCUCUAGUACUUUGCAGUUGUUUUUACCUUCUGAUCUCCACAGGAGGGAAUAGUUAAUAUAACUGUCUGUGCCCCAGGCUACUUCAUUUGUCUUUGACAUAGUAGUAGCGGACUUUCCUUCCACCUACAAAUCCAAGACAAACUCCUACAAUUUGCUUUACAAUGUACCUCAGUGUUUUACUUUUUGGGGAUUGUAUUUUAAAUCGGAAAAACAUGAAAAUUCACGAUUCUUUCAUUUCUCUAGAAAGAUCUCCGAGUCACACAGAACAUUACCAUUCCUAUUGAGCCUUGGGUGGUGUUUUUCUCUUUUCACUGGUUGUUCCUUGCUGGUCUUCAGAAGUUUAAAAUCCAGUUCUGGGAUUUCUCCAGGAACAUAUGAAAGACAAUAAUCCUUUGCCACAAACAGCCAGCACAAAGGAAUCUUUUACCUUUCUGCUGGGAUUAAAGGCUGACCCUCAUGCGUCUGACUUCCGUCUGCUUCUGAAGUUACACACCCAUUGCAAUGAAAGAUGCCAUUUGCGCCAUUAGCAAGCAUGGAGCAUCAGCAGCACAACAGAGCACGAGCCAGGUCUGCCUGGCUGCCAAGCAGACAUGGAAACUGUGGUCUGGAAGACACUGGAAGCUGAAAAGGUCUUCGGUGAAUGCCCCUCACUCUGCCACAUUCAAGUACCAGUGCUGACAGAGAGAUGGGAACUGUGCAGGCUCCACAGAGUGAAGGCAUACCUCAGGGAGUCUCGCGGGAAGCAAAAGGAGGCUUCUUUGUGCGCAACCAUAUCCCUGCUCCUGAGAAGCUUCACGUUGAGGCUCUGCUUUCCUACCUCGUUCAGGUCUGUGUGGAAGAGGUGCCCUGCCCGGCACUCCCGGAAAUUGGAUCAAUUGUCACCAUCAUGCAUCCAAACCUUCUCCUGUUUAGUGCACCACUGUAGUCUACUGGGUUAAAGCCAAGCAGAGCUACAGGGGAAGCCCAAAUGCAUGGGUAGACAACAGCGGCUGAAGCAGGGUAGCAGUGCUUUAAGGACCUGUAUGAGUUGCUGAGUUGGUAGAUAGGGAAAUUGUAUCUUGGGGCUGUCAUGGAGGCAUGAUCACAACAGCCACUCCAGGUUACUUCCUGGGUAAAGGAGGGAGGAAAGAAAUUAGGUUAAAUCAGGCUCACACCCAAGAAGGGAGGUGAUGAAAGGGGAGAACCCACCAGUCCUGAAGCCUUAAACCGGGCGGAGCUUGGAGUCUGGAGAGAAUCCGUCACAACAGGGAAACGAACCAAUACCACUGACAUGUCUCAGAGAUACACUGCAAGCUUUUCUAGCAUUGACAGCAUAAUAGGUUUACAUUCUAAUAGAAUACUGCACUUUGUUUUAAACACACAUAUGGUCUAGUAUAACAGCAUUUUCAUUAUACAGAAUAUAAAAUACACUUAGGACCAUAUUUAAACGCUUGUACAUUUAAAGAAAGCUGGAGGGUCAGGGGUUAAAGUCUCCUCUGCAGAUGUGUCCUUGAUCACUUCCAUCCAAUCAGCUGUGUGAAAAGGCACCAGCUCGAGUGUGCAGGAUCCCUGUGAUGGACUGGCAUCCUGUCCAGGGCUAAGUUUUACAUUUACACCAUGAAAACUGAGGUCUGGCCUGUUAAAUCACUCAGUUCGUAUAAGGACAUAUAGUACUUUAUCUCCUUGAGAAAGUUCAUUUUUUAAAGGAGGAAUUGCAGAUAACUGGGUAAAAUUCAGACACAAAGGAUAACGUUUAGCAAGAUUUCCCCUCAUGAGGAAGAAAGACAAAAAGACAGUGUGUUAUAGAGAGAAAAUAAAGGUGGUGGAAUACGUGUCAGGGGAAGUCAUUAAAUAGUGAACAUUCUGUAACCUGUGUUCUUAAUUAAAGACAAAAGCCUAAACAGGCUGCAGAGCUCUUACUCAACCUUCAUCUAUGUUGUGUUAACAGUAGGAAUUUUGAAAACAAGCCUUUCAGUUUGUUUUAUUGUGCAAAACAAACCUUGUGACAUUGAUUACAGACCUGUGAAACAGAUUAGUUUUUUUCCAUUUUUCUUGUUAGCUCUCACCGCCUCUAAGACCAUAAAAUAUUCCCAAGUAUGUGUAUGUGACAGGCAGCAAAUAGCCCAAAGGAAUUAAUCCUGCUAAUAUAAGCACCCAAUGUUUUUAUCUCUUUAAAUUGUACAUCAACAACCACUAUCAUAAAUCUGCACUCCAUGUUAAUCUAACAGACUAUGCUGAUGUACCUUCCCCACAGUCAUCUUAUAAUUAUUACCAGAAUUAUGCAGACGCCAGGUAACCAGUAUUUACAAGGAGCUCAUUGUUAAAGAAAGGGGGUCAUCUACUAUGAAUGCUUCUCAUCCAUUUUUUCAUAUAAUCUACUGACAUUAAGUUAAUUUUAUU
This is a non-coding RNA of Lepisosteus oculatus (spotted gar), 3317 nucleotides long. The record is from RefSeq and is a predicted model, not a curated record. NCBI's taxonomy places the organism in Eukaryota, Metazoa, Chordata, Actinopteri, Semionotiformes, Lepisosteidae.